AAUUUGACCUCAAAUCAGGUAGGACUACCCGCUGAACUUAAGCAUAUC
This 48-nucleotide ribosomal RNA is filed under the name Pleurotus sapidus. RNAcentral describes it as "partial 28S ribosomal RNA". The record is from RNAcentral. Lineage: Eukaryota; Fungi; Basidiomycota; Agaricomycetes; Agaricales; Pleurotaceae.